RNAcentral lists this ribosomal RNA (253 nucleotides) under uncultured bacterium. RNAcentral describes it as "partial 16S ribosomal RNA". It matches the Rfam family "Bacterial small subunit ribosomal RNA", at positions 524 to 776 of the family's 1533-position model. The record is from RNAcentral.
UACGUAGGGUCCGAGCGUUGUCCGGAAUUACUGGGGGUAAAGAGCUCGUAGGUGGUUUGUCGCGUUGUUCGUGAAAACUCACAGCUCAACUGUGGGCGUGCGGGCGAUACGGGCAGACUUGAGUACUGCAGGGGAGACUGGAAUUCCUGGUGUAGCGGUGGAAUGCGCAGAUAUCAGGAGGAACACCGGUGGCGAAGGCGGGUCUCUGGGCAGUAACUGACACUGAGGCACGAAAGCCAGGGGAGCAAACGGG